AGUAAAGUGCCUGAAAAAGGAUUAUUAUGAUAUAAUAAAACAUGUAAUAAAAAUUACCUUUACUU
This 65-nucleotide transfer RNA is filed under the name Prionoglaris stygia. RNAcentral's name for it is "tRNA-Ile". Lineage: Eukaryota; Metazoa; Arthropoda; Insecta; Psocodea; Prionoglarididae. The record is from RNAcentral.